AAUGAACGCUGGCGGCGUGCUUAACACAUGCAAGUCGAACGAGAAAGGGAUUGCUUGCAGUCCUGAGUAGAGUGGCGCACGGGUGAGUAACACGUGGAUAAUCUACCUUCGAGCCUGGGAUAACUAUCUGAAAAGGUAGCUAAUACCGGAUGAAGUCCUUUUUGCCUCGGCGGAUGGGAUGAAAGACAGCCUCUGCUUGCAAGCUGUUGUUUGAAGAUGAGUCCGCGCACCAUUAGCUAGCUGGUGGGGUAACGGCCUACCAGGGCAACGAUGGUUAGCUGGUCUGAGAGGAUGAUCAGCCACACUGGAACUGACACACGGUCCAGACUCCUACGGGAGGCAGCAGUGAGGAAUUUUGCGCAAUGGGGGCAACCCUGACGCAGCAACGCCGCGUGAGUGAAGAAGGCCUUUGGGUCGUAAAGCUCUGUCGACAGGGAAGAAGUUAUCCAUGGUAAAUAGCUGUGGAUAU
Molecule: ribosomal RNA, 469 nt
Filed under: uncultured Desulfobacteraceae bacterium
Lineage: Bacteria; Pseudomonadati; Thermodesulfobacteriota; Desulfobacteria; Desulfobacterales; Desulfobacteraceae
Description: bacterial SSU rRNA
Rfam family: Bacterial small subunit ribosomal RNA
Source: RNAcentral